Non-coding RNA from Cinara cedri, 209 nucleotides. The record is from the annotation of a GenBank genome assembly. NCBI's taxonomy places the organism in Eukaryota, Metazoa, Arthropoda, Insecta, Hemiptera, Aphididae.
GGAAUAUUGUUGAAUAAAAAACCGAAUAAUAGAGACAAAGACGAACAGAGAGCUAGGAUCAUCAACAUAGUAAGAUAAAAAUAUCUGAAAUGGCUAGAAAUGUAUGACAUAGAAGCUAAAAUCCAUUACUAUGGGCAGUGCAGGACCCAUCAAUAGGGAAAAGACUACUAGGAAGCCCGAGGGUGACGUAGUAAAAAAGGAUGUAAAUG